UGGGGAAUAUUGGACAAUGGGGGCAACCCUGAUCCAGCAAUGCCGCGUGUGUGAAGAAGGUCUUCGGAUUGUAAAGCACUUUCGACGGGGACGAUGAUGACGGUACCCGUAGAAGAAGCCCCGGCUAACUUCGUGCCAGCAGCCGCGGUAAUACGAAGGGGGCUAGCGUUGCUCGGAAUGACUGGGCGUAAAGGGCGUGUAGGCGGUUUACACAGUCAGAUGUGAAAUCCCCGGGCUUAACCUGGGAGCUGCAUUUGAUACGUGUAGACUAGAGUGUGAGAGAGGGUUGUGGAAUUCCCAGUGUAGAGGUGAAAUUCGUAGAUAUUGGGAAGAACACCGGCGGCGAAGGCGGCAACCUGGCUCAUGACUGACGCUGAGGCGCGAAAGCGUGGGGAGCAAACAGGAUUAGAUACCCUGGUAGUCCAC
This 426-nucleotide ribosomal RNA is filed under the name uncultured bacterium. RNAcentral describes it as "partial 16S ribosomal RNA". It matches the Rfam family "Bacterial small subunit ribosomal RNA", at positions 355 to 798 of the family's 1533-position model. The record is from RNAcentral.